Molecule: long non-coding RNA, 3280 nt
Organism: Gouania willdenowi (blunt-snouted clingfish)
Lineage: Eukaryota; Metazoa; Chordata; Actinopteri; Blenniiformes; Gobiesocidae
Source: Ensembl
CUCAGAGUGGACUACAGAGAAGAACAACCCACAGCUUAAAGCUUUCAGUAUCCUAACGUUUAUUUGCAGCACCAGAUACCUGAGGAUGAUUCCGCUUCUGUUCCUGCUGCUCUCCUGGUUGGUGCCUCACACUCAAGGUCUGGAGAUACUCGACCCCGAAGAAGUAGAGUAUGUUCGUUUCCAUGCCACUGCUUCAGUUGGAGAAACAAUCACAUUAGAUUGUGGAACCAUUGUUCCCACCAUCUUCAUCUGGGGCUACACCAAAGCAGGGACGGAAAACAACGUAGCGAUGGCUUAUAACUACGGACUUGGUUCAAAGGUCCUGCCUGAGUCGUCCAGUCUGGGUCGGAUGCAGGUUGUGGUCAACACAUCAUCUUUGGUGAUCGAGGAGCUUCAGAGGGAGGCGGCUGGGACGUACACCUGCCAGGCUUUGUACGAUACAGAUGAAGGACCUCGGGUCACGUUUUACUUCACCCGACUGGAUGUGGAAGACGACUGACUCAAGUCUAAACUCCCAGAAUGCUGUUCUUUAUUUAAUGCUUAAUGUUACCACUUUCUUCUUUUUUCUUCUUCUUAAAGGUAGUUUUCAUCCAAUUUCCCUAGAUUAGAUUUACUACAGAAUUUAUCCAUAAGGAUAAAUUCAAGUUCAUUAAGAGAGAUAAGAACAUCUAGUACAAAAAUAUACGUUCCUUCAUCUUCAGACCCGCUUAUUCAUAUUCAGGGUUGUAGGCGCUCUACUCAACUCAACUCAACUUUAUUUAUACAGCGCAAAUUACAACAAAGUCAUCUCAGUGUGUUUAACAAAAUAUAGUCCAUAGUAAAAAAAAGAACCCAACAAGAUCCACAAACACAAGUAUUUAGCGACAGUGGGAAGAAAAAAACUUCCUCUAUUUUAUAGGAAGAAAUCUCCAGCGGAACCAGGUUCAGAGGUGGCAGCCAUCUGCUUUGACUGGUUGGGGUUAGUGAACAGAAGACCGAACAGGAUAGGAUAGAAGGAUGGUCCAUCCGAGUGAUACUGGUGGCUAUCUCCAGCCCUCAAAGGGCGCCAGUGCAUUACAGAGCAAACACACAUAGACAGAAAGACAACCACUCACAUUCCCAUUAACUCCUAUGGGAAUAUUAGUGACUCCAAUAUAGGGUGGUGAAAGGAACCCAUAAUGCCCAGAGAAAACUCACGCAAGUAUAGGGAGAAAAUGCAAACUUUGCUUAUUAAUAAUAAUAAUAAUAAUAAUAAUAAUAAUAAUAAUAAUAAUAAUAAUAAUAAUAAUAACAAAAAUAAUAAUGCAUUGGAUUUUAUAUAACGCUUCAUCAUAGACACUCAAAACGCUUUACAGAAUUAAGGCAUUAUUUUUUCACUCCACACCUAGUGGUGGUGAGCUACUAUUGUAGCCACAGCUGCCCCGAAGCAGACUGACGGAGGCGAGGCUGCCAUAGUGCGCCAUCGGCCCCUCCGACCAACACUCACUCACACACUACAUUCAUACUAGGCAAUGUGGGUGAAGUGUCUUGCCGAAGGACACAAUGACAGACGCCCACUGUGGCACCAGGAAUUCUCAGUGGUCUCCCAUCCAACUACUAACCAGGCCUUAGCGAGAUCAGGCAAUGGCAGGCUGGUAUUUCAACACAAAAGAUCCAAGUGUGCUUGAACCCAUGACCUUCUUGCUGUGCAGAAGACCUACUAAUCCCUACACCAAUGUGCCGUCCUCUCCCAAAAAUGGGAUGUCUUGAUAACCUCUCGAAGAGACAUUUCCUUGUAAAUCUUCAAGGACGAAAACAAAUGUGUGAAGUAACAGAGCAUAAGCUCCCAGAUAAUUAACCUGUUCUGUCAUGUAUUCAAUGUGUUGUUCAUUUCCAACAAAGCCUUAGUGAUAAACUGUUGGCUUAUCCAGUAAUUAGAUAAAGUCUUCAGUGCCCCUCAACCUUGAUGAGAAUUCUUCAAAACUAUUUAUGAGUAGGUCAAGGUCUUUGUGGUGAAGACUUCCAUCAUUCCAAUGGUGUCACCAAGUAACCUAUCUUCAAGAAAAUUAUUGGGAGCAUCUAAGGUGUUGUAAGGUUGAAGGACUGUUUAGUUUUAACAUUGACGGCUAUACAAUCCCAGGCUUUAACCUUGAAGGCACAACUGAAGGUUAAUGAACCUUCAUUCACCGCUUUAGUCCGCUGACACUCAUUUUUUCUCUGCUUCAGAUCACUGUGACAAACUCAUUGUAAUUCGUAUCCUUUUUUUCAACACACUGGGAACAGCACACCAGACUGUAACACACACCGAAAGACUUUGAUCAGUGGAUGACUGCACUAUUGUCUCCUGCCAUCUUUGUAGCCAUAUAAACUUACAAAGCGUGACACCCCGUAGACCUGAGGUUGUGGCUUUAAUUUCAAAUACUCACCCCUCAGGCCUGUGUCUUCCUGAUUACUACAACCAUCUGGAUUGUGGAUUUAUUAGACUAAGUUUGUAGUUUGUUUUUCACCGCAGUGUGUGUUUAUUUUCAAGAUCCUAAUGUUUUCCCUGCAUUAGGCCGGAAAUUUGCACCACAGUACCAAACAAUGCCUCGACCUCCUAGAACUCACCGAGGGCUUGCCCAAGCACAGGUAACAUCAGGUAACUUUACAGACGCCUAGAAUUAUACAACUGGUAUGAAGAUUAAAAAAUAGAAUAUUUGUCCUUGUACAAGUAAAGAUGCAAGCAUAAAUAUGUUGGUCACCUAAAGUCCAGAUUGUUUGGCCAGAGUGAGUACAACUAUGUCGUACUUGAACGCAGCACACUUUGUUAGAGAGGUCGACCUGAGCUCGACAAGCUUCGUACCGAACACAAGAACAUACAGAAAGACAUCUUUAAUGCGGAUAUGUUUGGUUUUCUGUUCAGGUUCUGCUCUAGUUGUGACAAAAUUUAGAAAUCUUUGCGACUAACAAAAAGCUCUGUUACAUUUGUAAGCACACCUCAACUUUCCGGGCUUUGGGAUGUUUCACACUAUUCUCUCUAUACAGGUCAUAGUAGCAACGCAUUAUACAAACAUCUUAACCAACAAGGCCUCACUCUAAACCUUUUUUGUCCGGCAAAUGCCAGAAUAUCUUAUGUCUUUUAAGACUAUCCUGUGGUCUGAGUUGUGUUAAGAGUUAACUAAUCGGCUCUGAAACAGGCCGGGCCGACAAAAAGUAAAUAUUAAAGUUGUUCAUUGUUUACGACAUAGAACUCCUCGUAUGUGUGGGGGAAGUCGACGACUUUCGACUCAUGAAUCUGUCAUUUUUGAUGAGGAACGGAAUAAAGUGAGUUGAUUGAGGAACA